GGGCUAAAACAUUUUAGGAUAGAAACAACUGCACCUGCCUUCUUUCAUGCAUGGAGAUUUUGUUCGCAGAAUUCCACAUGGGCCAUGAACCAUAUGGCUUUGUAGUAAUGUAUACAGUUUUAGGUCAUCUUCCUAUGAAAGUAUCUCUGCUGAUAUAAUUUGAUCAAUGUCAUCUGAAUAUGGAUAUUUAUUGUCGAGGUGUAAAAAUAGCAAUAGAUGGACAUGAGAAAGUCCUCACUUUUGAAAUUCU
Molecule: long non-coding RNA, 250 nt
Filed under: Glycine max (soybean)
Lineage: Eukaryota; Viridiplantae; Streptophyta; Magnoliopsida; Fabales; Fabaceae
Description: long non-coding RNA (GMAX_LNC004123)
Source: RNAcentral